GGGACUAUGUCAUGUGUAUCGCAUUGCCACGAACUGUUCCACCACGAUCCGCUGCACUAUGUCGCCUCCUGGUGACAUCUCCAUUGCAUUCUGAUCCUUGUGGAAUAAACUCGAAUUGUGAACCCUCCAUUUGUGGCCUCUGCCAAUACAUCGCAGGGUCUCUUCCACCUUCGAUUUUAUUCGCUCCUUUGGCAAUCGACCUUCAUCCACCCACUCUUGGGUCACACCUAGAUGAAGCACCACUCUAGGACAGUCCGUCGCCUA
RNAcentral lists this long non-coding RNA (264 nucleotides) under Musa acuminata (dwarf banana). RNAcentral's name for it is "long non-coding RNA (MACU_LNC009844)". Lineage: Eukaryota; Viridiplantae; Streptophyta; Magnoliopsida; Zingiberales; Musaceae. The record is from RNAcentral.